This 468-nucleotide ribosomal RNA is filed under the name uncultured bacterium. RNAcentral describes it as "partial 16S ribosomal RNA". It matches the Rfam family "Bacterial small subunit ribosomal RNA", at positions 28 to 507 of the family's 1533-position model. The record is from RNAcentral.
GAUGAACGCUGGCGGCGUGCUUAACACAUGCAAGUCGAACGGAAAGGCCCUGCUUUUGUGGGGUGCUCGAGUGGCGAACGGGUGAGUAACACGUGAGUAACCUGCACUUGACUUUGGGAUAACUUCAGGAAACUGGGGCUAAUACCGGAUAGGAGCUCCUGCUGCAUGGUGGGGGUUGGAAAGUUUCGGCGGUUGGGGAUGGACUCGCGGCUUAUCAGCUUGUUGGUGGAGUAGUGGCUUACCAAGGCUUUGACGGGUAGCCGGCCUGAGAGGGUGACCGGCCACAUGGGGACUAAGAUACGGCGCAGACUCCUACGGGAGGCAGCAGUGGAGAAUAUUGCACAAUGGGCGGAAGCCUGAUGCAGCAACGCCGCGUUCGGGAUGACGUCCUUCGGGUUGUAAACCGCUUUCGCCUGUGACGAAGCGUGAGUGACGGUAAUGGGUAAAGAAGCACCGGCUAACUACGUG